RNAcentral lists this small RNA (77 nucleotides) under Flavobacterium saccharophilum. RNAcentral's name for it is "Flavo-1 RNA". It matches the Rfam family "Flavo-1 RNA". The record is from RNAcentral. Lineage: Bacteria; Pseudomonadati; Bacteroidota; Flavobacteriia; Flavobacteriales; Flavobacteriaceae.
CCCUAGCCCUGAUGGGAGGGAAAAUCCUUUUGUGGUGGGGUUCACCACAAAAGAUUGGAAGGACAGCAGGAAAUAGC